GGGCAGUGAUGAGGAUUUUGAGAAAGUCAUGCACCACUCUGAUAUUAUCUGUGCUGAUAAAUCUCUCAUACCCAUAUGUUUCUGAGCCC
Populus trichocarpa (black cottonwood) is the source of this 89-nucleotide non-coding RNA. The record is from Rfam. NCBI's taxonomy places the organism in Eukaryota, Viridiplantae, Streptophyta, Magnoliopsida, Malpighiales, Salicaceae.